Suricata suricatta (meerkat) is the source of this 2701-nucleotide long non-coding RNA. RefSeq lists it as uncharacterized. The record is from RefSeq and is a predicted model, not a curated record. The transcript has 2 exons. NCBI's taxonomy places the organism in Eukaryota, Metazoa, Chordata, Mammalia, Carnivora, Herpestidae.
UUCCCCGAAAGCCUUGGCGACCGCCUGCUUCUGUCUCCGUGUCUGACGUCAUCCGCCGCUGACACCGGCACGCCCAGUUCCAGUCCGCGUCAGCAUGGGCAAUUUGCUGUGUGUGCGGAGCGCAGAGGAGCAAGGGCUUCCGCGACUUGUGGCCAGCGUCCUGCUCUCGGGGCCAGGCUACCCUCUUAUAGUGGCCGCCACCAGCCACCGCAGUCCCAUGACCAGAACACCCCAGGCCAGGCCCGCCCCUUCUCCCCGCGCUUCGCCCGGAUGGCAUUGCCAUCUUCAAUCAUGUGACCUACCUGACAAAAUGGGGAUAAGUUGAACAAUAUGGGAUUCUCCAGCAUUGGAGAGUUCCCAAAGCAACCAGGAACUAAGGAUCCAAGGUACCAAAGAGAAGGGAUGCUCGCUGAGGCAAGUCCAACAUUCUUAGUGCCUCCUCUCCCACAGAGACCGUUGACCAUACCUAGUCACACAAUUGUAAAAUGGUUGAAAAAUAAAAGACUAGAAAACAUUAAAAACAGCAAAAAAAUUAAAGACAUUUUACCUUUAAAGAGUAAAUACUGAAAGAGUGGUCAAAACAAAAUUAAACCCCACAGGCAUCUAACAAGCUGAUGGAUAGAACAAAAUGAAAAUACUUCCUUAAUUCAAAAGGUGAGAAAAAAACAUGUCAAGAACCCUCUGAAUAUCCAUAAGUGUUGCAAAUCCACCUGAGGAGUCACCGUGGGCAAUUUUACUUAAUUUGUGGGGGGUCAGUGGAUGGAUGAAGUUUCAUCUGACACCUGGGCCUGAACCAGAACUUGUGAUGCCAGCUCUGGCCUAGAGAAAUCCCAGAAUGCCACAGCCACAGACACACUGCCUCACUAUUCCCAACUUGACCCGGAAGAAAUUCUGCAGCUUCUGGAAAGGCGUGGCUUUCACCUAUCACACCUCUGUCCAAAAAUAGUCCCUGUGUCCAUAAGAGUGGGGAGCAAAGGUGCAGGAGUCCAGCAAGGAAACAGCCAGAGGCAGGGAGAGAAAAGGAGCCCUCAUUUGCCUUCCUCUUAGUGUGUGACAUUCCCCAAAGGUUGCCAGGUCAGUGGCAUUUCCUGGCUCAGGGAUCCAGCUAGAGGUGAGGGUGACUUCGCUGACUCAAAGACCCAGCAGGACAGUGGUGGUGAGCCUCUCCAAAAGAUAGUGGCUUUGGGGCCUUUCCAUGGAACAAAAGCAGCUUCCACACUGCAGAGCUUUAUGAACCCCUGCAGGCCCCAGAGGGCGCCCCCCAUCCAGGCGCAGCGGGAUUCUGCACAUCCUCCUCUACCUGCACUAUCUCUGCCCUCUGCCCCUGAGGUCUGCGAAGGGUUAUGUAGGGAUCAAGGAGAGGUGAUGACUUCUGUGCUGAAGAGGCAGCAGCUGGAGACCCAGGAGGUUGUGUGCGGUAGAUGCAGGACCAGGUGGGGAGUAAACAGAUGGAGCCAGGGGAAAAUGGGCCCCAGAGUGAUCAAAAGGAGACCCGAGAGGGAUGGAGAGAGGAAGACAAGUGACACAGGAGUGGGGAGCCUGAAAAACACCCAGGGGACCCCUUCUGGGAGCUCAAGAGGGUUCACUUAAGGGAGAUCUUGCACAAGCUCCAGUAACCCUUCCCCAUGCCUAUCCAUGCCUGCCUUUAGCCAGGCUCAGGAAGGACAUUUUUUGGUCCUUUUCCACUUUCAUUUUAUUUUCCAGUUUCAUCACACAAACACUUUGGGGAGAGGUGGGGACUAAGGAACCACACCCUUGACAUUGCCCAACCCAUCUGGGUGCCUCUAAUUCAUACUACCUGUUACCUCAAGGAGAAAUGCUGGGUGGGAAGACUCUUCCCACACCAGGCAUUUCCCAGGCUCCUCUUUCCAUAAUGUCUCACAUAAAAGUGGGUGUUGUUAUGGCUAGGGAAAUAUAAAUUCAUUUUUUAAAUAUCAGUGAAUUCACAGGAGAUUUGGUCAUUGUGUAGUACAGCGGUUUUCGAAUUUGAACAUGCGUCAGAAUCUCUUGGAGCACCGGUUCAAACAGAUUUCUGGGCUCCAGCCUGUUGUUCUCCUAUUCAGCGGAUCUCUUCCAGAGCAUUUGCAGAUUGAGAAAGUUCACAGAUGCUGCUGACGCUGCUGGUCCAGGGACCACACUUUGAACCCUGCUAAUCUAGGUUAUCAAAACUACAGCUAAUUUUAGGGAAAGGUCUAUUUGUUUUGUUUUUCAAACAACCUUCUCUGGUUUAUUUGAACUCUUAGCCAAUUUUUCCAGCCUUAUCUCUUCCUCAAAUAUGUCCAAACAUUUCAUGGAUGAUACAGACCAAAAUAGUAACAAGAAUGGCAAGAAUGAAAAUGAUACUCCAUGCUCUUAAAUACAGAGAAAAAAUUUGUGGUUGCCAGAGGGUGAGGGGUGGAAUGGGCAAAAUAGAUAAAGAGGAUUAAGAGGUACAACUUCCAGUUAUAAAAUAAGUCAGGGAAAUGAAAAGUACAGCCUAAGGAAUAUAUUCAGUAAUGCUGUAAUAAUGUUGCAUGGUGACCCCACUAGUCCUGGUGAGCACUGCAUCGCUGUACACCUGAAACUAAUAAAACAUUGCAUGUUAAUUAUACUUCAAUAAAAAGAAAAUGAUACUCAAACUCAACAUGUUGUAAACAUUAUGUACAGCUAAAGUAUGCCCAUCAUACCUUAAUAAAGUGUUUUUUAGAUGAAAAUGAUAAAA